Chrysemys picta bellii (western painted turtle) is the source of this 1078-nucleotide long non-coding RNA. RefSeq lists it as uncharacterized. The record is from RefSeq and is a predicted model, not a curated record. Lineage: Eukaryota; Metazoa; Chordata; Testudines; Emydidae.
UCCUGCUCGGCUCCAGAAAAAUGUCUUAUUGAGAUUCAAUUCCCAGCAGCACUUCAAUGGGAGCUGUAGUUUUGUGAGAUCCCAUCACAAUAGGAUCUUCGUCCAUGUCUAAGGCUCCUAGGCAUUCCAGUAAUACGAUACAGGCAUUUAUGGAUGAAAAAAACACAGUGUCUCACCUGGAGUGCAGAUUUGUCACUUGAGUGCAGUGGAGUAUCCUGGCAGGCUGCGUGCGGCCCGCAGAUUGUCCACCACUGCUCUAGGUCAUCACAUCCAUGUCUAAAUCUUAACAAUUCCCUCUGCAUAACAUCUCUAAGAUACAGCCUUUCCUUUCCAUCCACCAUCAUAGCUAAAACUCACAUCCAGGCUCUCAUCAUUCCACAUCUCAAUUACUGCACCAUCCUUUUGUUUGGCUUUGACAAAUGCAAUCUUGCUCUACUCAUAUCCAUUCAGAAUACUGCUGCAAAGAUAAUUUCCUAGCACUAUUGUUCUGAAAAUGUUUCCCCUUUCUGCUUCCCUCCACUGGCUCCCCCUUCUCUAGUGCAUCAGACAUAAGCUACUUGUCCUCAUGGGCGGCAUGGUGCAUAGGCUGGGGAAGGCUAUGCCUCCACAAACAGCCCGGCGUGGCUCUGCCCACCCUCCUCCCUGAAGCCCUGCUUGCCCUUCCCCCUUGGCCCCAGCCCAGGCAGGCUGCUCCUCUUCAGGGAAGUCUGCUGGGGCUAGGGCGGUUGAGACUUGGGGUGGCUCGGGCUGCCCAGCGCAGGGGGGCCCUGGGUGCUGGGGCUGCACCACCCGGCACUGGGGUGCAGUGGACUGGAGGGGGACUGGAGGCACUGGGGCUGCCUGCCCUGUGCUUGGGGGGAACAGGGAGGGGCAUGCCAUUCACCCACCCUGUGCUCGGGGGCUGGGGCGGGCCAUGUGCUUCCCAUCCGCCCUGCCCUCGGAGGCCGGGGGGGGCACAUGCCACCCACCCACCAUGCGCUCGGGGCAGGGGCUGCAUGCCGCCGACCCUGUGCUCGCGGGCCACUGCACACCACCCACCCAGCACUCUGGGACUGGGGUGGGAGGGGGGCUAGUGGCC